GGGGGCACUGUGGGGGCAAUGGGGGGAGGAAUGGGGGGGGCACUGGGGAGGGCAGUGGGGCGGGGGGGGGGAGCUGCAGAAUGGGGUCAUUGUGGGAAUGGGGGGUGGGGGCAGCACGGUGUCCCCAUAGGGUAUGGGAUGUGGGGACACAUAGAAUGGUGUCCCUAUGGGAAUGGGGUCAUGGGGUACACCUCAAUGUCCCCAUAGGUUGUGGGAUAUGGGGACAGACAGAACAGUGCCCCUAUAGGGAAUGGGGUGUGGGGUACAGCCUAAUGAUCCCAUAGGUUAUGGGAUAUGGGGACAGACAGAACAGUGUCCCUAUGGGGAAUGGGGUGUGGGGUACAGCCUAAUGACCCCAUAGGUUAUGGGAUAUGGGGACAGACAGCCUGGUGACCCUAUGGGAACGGAGCAUGGGGUACAGAACGGUGUCCCCAUAGGUUAUGGGAUAUGGGGACAGACAGAACGGUGUCCCUAUAAGGAAUGGGAGGGGGGGAGAAUUGCUGUGUCCCUAUAGGGAAUGGGGUGUGGGGACGUGAAGAACAGAGUCCCUAUGAGGAAUGGGGUGUGGGGUACAGAACGGUGUCCCCAUAGGUUAUGGGAUAUGGGGACAUAUAGAAUGGUGACCCUAUGGGAACGGAGCAUGGGGUACAGCCCGGUGUCCCCAUAGGUUAUAGGAUAUGGGGACAGACAGAACAGUGCCCCUAUAGGGAAUGGGGUGUGGGGUACAGCGUAAUGACCCCAUAGGUUAUGGGAUAUGGGGACAGACAGAACAGUGUCCCUAUGCGGAAUGGGGUGUGGGGUACAGCCGAAUGACCCCAUAGGUUAUGGGAUAUGGGGACACACAGAAUGGUGUCCCUAUG
Molecule: long non-coding RNA, 860 nt
Filed under: Gallus gallus (chicken)
Lineage: Eukaryota; Metazoa; Chordata; Aves; Galliformes; Phasianidae
Description: lncRNA (ENSGALG00010018571.1)
Source: RNAcentral